This 493-nucleotide ribosomal RNA is filed under the name uncultured bacterium. RNAcentral describes it as "partial 16S ribosomal RNA". It matches the Rfam family "Bacterial small subunit ribosomal RNA", at positions 30 to 523 of the family's 1533-position model. The record is from RNAcentral.
AUUGAACGCUGGCGGCAUGCCUUACACAUGCAAGUCGAACGGUAACAGGUUAAGCUGACGAGUGGCGAACGGGUGAGUAAUGUAUCGGAACGUGCCCAGUCGUGGGGGAUAACUGCUCGAAAGAGCAGCUAAUACCGCAUACGACCUGAGGGUGAAAGCGGGGGAUCGCAAGACCUUGCGCGAUUGGAGCGGCCGAUAUCAGAUUAGGUAGUUGGUGGGGUAAAGGCCUACCAAGCCUACGAUCUGUAGCUGGUCUGAGAGGAUGACCAGCCACACUGGGACUGAGACACGGCCCAGACUCCUACGGGAGGCAGCAGUGGGGAAUUUUGGACAAUGGACACAAGUCUGAUCCAGCCAUGCCGCGUGCGGGAAGAAGGCCUUCGGGUUGUAAACCGCUUUUGUCAGGGAAGAAAAGGUUCUGGUUAAUACCUGGGACUCAUGACGGUACCUGAAGAAUAAGCACCGGCUAACUACGUGCCAGCCGCCGCGGUAA